CCUGCUGAUGUGUAACCGCAACUUUUUAUAACACUUUUUAAUACAGUUAAUGAAGCAGAUGGCAUUGCAUCGACGAAUGCCAUUAUGACAUUUAAUGACGAAUGCAGUAUUUAAAAAAUAGAAAAAAAGGUUUUAUAAAAAAAAUAAAACAUAUUUGGGAUUAUUUUUCGGAUCAUAACAAACAUCUUUUUUCAUUUUCAGUAGAAAUAAUGUCCUACAUAGGGGGAAACAUGACCGUAAACACCGCUGUAGCCAACAUGAGAAUAAACUGGAUGAUGAGAGUAAACAACUUGGGGUUGAGCCUCGGGUUGUGGCAAGGCAAGGGCAAAAGCCACCAAAGCCAAGAAUACAAACUACAAAAAUCAAUUGUUUAUUAAUUACACUAAUAAAAUUAAAAAAUACAAUACUUACAAGUUUGAACAUUUUGAUAUGUAGUAGAUCUGCAAAAUCUAACAUAGAAAUUGGAAUAUUACGUCGGUUAUAUAAGACAUAAAACAGGUGUGUCGGGAAGAAUGACACACCUAGAGAUAUUAAUUAGGUCAAGUAUUGUUUUGGUUUCCUUUUUGUUUUUUCUAUAAAUUUUACUUUGUAAUUUUAUUGUUGCUAUAUUACGUAAAAAACUGCUUUUAUUGUUUUAGACCAAAAAUCAGAAACUGGUUUUGAGGCACAAAACAAGUGGUUCUGGGAUAGUUUGUUAAAUGUUUUUUCACAUUUUUUAUCUUUUCGUUUUAAGAUCAAUAAAACAAUUCAACGGUCAAA
This is a long non-coding RNA of Tribolium madens (black flour beetle), 759 nucleotides long. RefSeq lists it as uncharacterized. The transcript has 2 exons. NCBI's taxonomy places the organism in Eukaryota, Metazoa, Arthropoda, Insecta, Coleoptera, Tenebrionidae. The record is from RefSeq and is a predicted model, not a curated record.